RNAcentral lists this ribosomal RNA (1502 nucleotides) under uncultured Bordetella sp. RNAcentral describes it as "partial 16S-23S ribosomal RNA intergenic spacer". It matches the Rfam family "Bacterial small subunit ribosomal RNA". Lineage: Bacteria; Pseudomonadati; Pseudomonadota; Betaproteobacteria; Burkholderiales; Alcaligenaceae. The record is from RNAcentral.
GGUUUGAUCAUGGCCUGAUUGAACGCUGGCGGGAUGCUUUACACAUGCAAGUCGAACGGCAGCACGGACUUCGGUCUGGUGGCGAGUGGCGAACGGGUGAGUAAUGUAUCGGAACGUGCCUAGUAGCGGGGAUAACUACGCGAAAGCGGGGUAGCUAAUACCGCAUAUUGCCCUUCGGGGGAAAGCGGGGACCUUCGGGCCUCGCACUAGAGCGGCCGAUAUCGGAUUAGCUAGUUGGUGGGGUAACGGCUCGACCAAGGCGACGAUCCGUAGCUGGUUUGAGAGGACGACCAGCCACACUGGGACUGAGACAGGCUCCAGACUUACGGGAGGCAGCAGUGGGGAAUUUUGGACAAUGGGGGAAAAAACCCCUGAUCCAGCCAUCCCGCGUGUGCGAUGAAGGCUCUCGGGUUGUAAAGCACUUUGGCAGUGGGAGAAGAAAAUGGCACUGGAUAAUACCUCGCGCAACUGACGGUACCUGUGAGAAUAAGCACCGGCUAACUACGUGCCAGCAGCCGCGGUAAUACGUAGGGUGCAAGCGUUAAUCGGAAUUUACUAAGCGUAAAGGUGCGGCAGGCGGUUCGAAAGAAAGAUGUGAAAUCCCAGAGCUUAACUUUGGAACUGCAUUUUUAACUACCGAGCUAGAGUGUGUCAGUGAGGGAGGUGGAAUUCGCGUGUAGCAGUGGGAAUGCGUAGAUAUGGAGGAACACCGAUGGCGAAGGCAGCCUCCUCUGGGAUAACACUGACGCUCAUGCACGAAAGCGUGGGGAGCAAACAGGAUUAGAUACUCCUGGUAGUCCACGCCCUAAACGAUGUCAACAGCUGUUGGGGCCUUCGGGCCUUAUAGCGCAGCUAACGCGUGAAGCGACCGCCUGGGGAGUACGGUCGGAAGAUUAAAACUCAAAGGAAUUGACGGGGACUCCGCACAAGCGGUGGAUGAUGUGGAUUAAUUCGAUGCAACGCGCGAAAACCUUACCUACCUCCUUGACAUGUCUGAAACCUGAAGAGAUUUGGGAGUGCUCGCAAGAGAACCGGAACACAGGUGCUGUAAUGGCUGUCGUCAGCUCGUGUCGUGAGAUGUUGGGUUAAGUCCCGCAACGAGCGCAACCCUUGUCAUUAGUUGCUACGAAAGGGCACUCUAAUGAGACUGCCGGUGACAAACCGGAGGAAGGUGGGGGAUGACGUCAAGUCCUCAUGGCCCUUAUGGGUAGGGCUUCACACGUCAUACAAUGUCGGGACAGAGGGUCGCCAACCCGCGAGGGGGAGCCAAUCCGUGAAACCCGAUCGUGGGUCUGGAUCGCAGUCUGCAACUCGGACUGCGGUGAAGUCGGAAUCGCUAGUAAUCGCGGAUCAGCAUGUCGCGGUGAAUACGUUCCCGGCCUUGUACACACCGCCCGUCACACCAUGGAGUGGGUUUUACCAGAAGUAGUUAGCCCAACCGUAAGGAGGGCGAUUACCACGGUAGGAUUCAUGACUGGGGUGAAGUCGUAACAAGGUAGCCC